Molecule: ribosomal RNA, 133 nt
Filed under: uncultured bacterium
Lineage: Bacteria
Description: partial 16S ribosomal RNA
Rfam family: Bacterial small subunit ribosomal RNA
Source: RNAcentral
GAGGAAUAUUGGACAAUGGGCGGAAGCCUGAUCCAGCCAUGCCGCGUGCAGGAAGACGGCCCUAUGGGUUGUAAACUGCUUUUAUACGGGAAGAAUAAGGGAUACGUGUAUCCUGGUGACGGUACCGUAAGAA